This is a long non-coding RNA of Jatropha curcas, 908 nucleotides long. RefSeq lists it as uncharacterized. Lineage: Eukaryota; Viridiplantae; Streptophyta; Magnoliopsida; Malpighiales; Euphorbiaceae. The record is from RefSeq and is a predicted model, not a curated record.
AUUAUUUUUUCAUUUUUUUAAGUUUUUAUGAUAGCUUAUUAUUAUUGUUAAUUUAGAAAUCGCAACCUAAUAAACACUCUUCUCAUCGACCCUUCUGUCUAUCUCUGCUAAUCUGCAAUGAAUCUCCGACGAAUCUCCAGCAAAUUCCAAUGCAUCAGGUCGGGUUCAGAUUAGCUCUACCCUUCUUUUCGUUUCAUCACUUUCCAUCAUAAUCUCAUAUCUUAUUUUCUUUUGUUGGCCCUUCCAUCCAACUCUGCUAAUCUCUGAUGAAUCUCCGGCAAAUUCAGGUGCAUUAGAUUGUGUCCACGGCGGCGACAGUGGGGAGAACUACACCGUCAUUUCAAACGGCACCAUAGGAAUAGGAUGGAGGCCAGUAAUUGAACCUCUUGAAAAUGGAGUAAGAGGGAUGACGUUGGCUGAUCAUUAUGAAGUUUAUUUCAAGGGAAUGCCAAUGUUUAAAGGAGUCACAAGUCCUGUUGAAAUUGAGUGCGUGCGCGAUCGUGCUGAUGAAAGCAGCGUGCAUCACUUUUUACAAGUUUUCUAUUCUUAUUAAAGCUCAUAAAACGUAGGCUUUGGAUGAUCCUAUCGUAGCUGCCUCAGAACUAGAUCAGAAGAAUGCCUUGACUCUGGCUGUUGCUUUAGUUUUGGCAAACACAGCCAGUCUCGACUGCAAAGUAAGGGUAGAAUGUCAAAGAAUGCUUAUUAUUUGGAUUCUCCAAUAAAGCAAAUAAAAGCAUAUUUAAUCUAUUAUUCAAGUUGUUUGGAGCUGAAAGGUGUAAACAAGGCAGAAUAACUCAAAUGACAUUCGUAAGCCAUCUUUUCAAUGUUUGAUCUUUUCAAUAAGAAGAAGCAACAAAUUAUGUAAUAAGAGAAAAUUAAGGAAAUGGUAUUAUUAUAUAAUUCAGUAA